AGUCCCGCAACGAGCGCAACCCUUAUCCUUGUUUGCCAGCGAGUAAUGUCGGGAACUCCAGGGAGACUGCCGGUGAUAAACCGGAGGAAGGUGGGGACGACGUCAAGUCAUCAUGGCCCUUACGAGUAGGGCUACACACGUGCUACAAUGGCGCAUACAGAGGGCAGCAAGCUAGCGAUAGUGAGCGAAUCCCAAAAAGUGCGUCGUAGUCCGGAUUGGAGUCUGCAACUCGACUCCAUGAAGUCGGAAUCGCUAGUAAUCGUGGAUCAGAAUGCCACGGUGAAUACGUUCCCGGGCCUU
Molecule: ribosomal RNA, 300 nt
Filed under: uncultured bacterium
Lineage: Bacteria
Description: bacterial SSU rRNA
Rfam family: Bacterial small subunit ribosomal RNA
Source: RNAcentral